Molecule: microRNA precursor, 82 nt
Filed under: Mus musculus (house mouse)
Lineage: Eukaryota; Metazoa; Chordata; Mammalia; Rodentia; Muridae
Description: mir-3473 microRNA precursor family
Rfam family: mir-3473 microRNA precursor family
Source: Rfam by way of RNAcentral
ACCGCUGAGCUAUCUCUCCAGCCCAUCUUUAACUUUUGAAAUAAAACAUCUGGAUAUGGGGCUGGAGAGAUGGCUCAGCGGU